GCAAAAGCUGUGAGAAGGAGAGUACAACUUUUUAGAUCGUGCAGAGAGCCGGUGGGUGGUGCGAACCGGUCGGUCGGAGAGUUGGAAACACACCUUUGAGCUGUGGCCCGAACGGCUGCCCGAUGGCAGCUCACUAGACGUCACCGGAGACUUCCACCGUUAUCAGCGGAAGAGGGGUUAGUUGUUUUGACUCCUGAUGAGUGGUCAUGUGCGGCUGUUGAGUUCGUGCAUGGCAAGAUGGGUGGUACCGCGAGCAAGCUCUCGUCCCGUUA
This 272-nucleotide non-coding RNA is filed under the name Tumebacillus sp. RNAcentral's name for it is "T-box sequence". It matches the Rfam family "T-box leader". Rfam says of the family: Uncharged tRNA acts as the effector for transcription antitermination of genes in the T-box leader family. T-boxes are found upstream of many aminoacyl-tRNA synthetase genes and some amino acid biosynthetic genes usually in Gram-positive bacteria. The anticodon of a specific tRNA base pairs to a specifier sequence within the T-box motif, and the NCCA acceptor tail of the tRNA base pairs to a conserved bulge in the T-box antiterminator hairpin. Lineage: Bacteria; Bacillati; Bacillota; Bacilli; Caryophanales; Alicyclobacillaceae. The record is from RNAcentral.